GAUGAACGCUAGCGGCAGGCCUAACACAUGCAAGUCGAGGGGUAGAAGGAGCUUGCUCCUUUGAGACCGGCGCACGGGUGCGUAACGCGUAUGCAAUCUACCUUGUACAGGGGAAUAGCCCAGAGAAAUUUGGAUUAAUGCCCCAUAGUAUAUAACCUUCGCAUGUUGGUUAUAUUAAAGUUCCAACGGUACAAGAUGAGCAUGCGUCCCAUUAGUUAGUUGGUAAGGUAACGGCUUACCAAGACGAUGAUGGGUAGGCGUCCUGAGAGGGAGCUCCCCCAAACUGGUACUGAGACACGGACCAGACGCCUACGGGAGGCAGCAGUGAGGAAUAGUGGGCAAUGGUCGCAAGACUAAACCAGCCAUGCCGCGUGCAGGAAGACGGUCCUAUGGAUUGUAAACUGCUUUUAAACAGGAAGAAACCCUCCCACGUGUGGGAGCUUGACGGUACUGUAGGAAUAAGGAUCGGCUAACUCCGUG
This 480-nucleotide ribosomal RNA is filed under the name uncultured bacterium. RNAcentral's name for it is "partial 16S ribosomal RNA". It matches the Rfam family "Bacterial small subunit ribosomal RNA", at positions 28 to 507 of the family's 1533-position model. The record is from RNAcentral.